RNAcentral lists this long non-coding RNA (4383 nucleotides) under Homo sapiens (human). RNAcentral's name for it is "non-protein coding lnc-UBR2-1:4". Lineage: Eukaryota; Metazoa; Chordata; Mammalia; Primates; Hominidae. The record is from RNAcentral.
GCCACCGGGGGCCGCCCGGGGCUGCUCGGCAUUGGUGCGGAAACCCGAGCCCGGAGUCGCUCCCUCGCGCUGUCUCCUCCUCCUCCUCUGCGGGGGAAACCGCUGCACCCAAACCGGGAGCAGCUGCGAGCAGGGGGCAGGGCGCGGGCUGAAAGGCGAGCCGAAGGUUCAAACCUCCGCGGCGCGGGCGGGGGCGGAGGGCAACAGCAGGACGGCCCCCAGGUCCCGAGAAGGCGUGGCAGUGGUCGGCCCAGGUGUCAGGGAACCUGGCCUGAGACCCCUGCAUUUCCAAGCUUCUUUCCUGGUCAGAGGAAACGUGAACCAAAGGUAGUUCAGCUAAACAGACCACCUCGAGCCGGGUUCGAGGCAUCUGUCUCGAGGGCAAGACAGUAUUUUUUGCACGACAGAAAGUUACACCAUCCAUUUUUUUCCGUGGGGGAAAUCAUUGCGCCCCUUCCCCCAAAAUGUCGCGCAAGAAGAAUGACCUCCCGCUACCCAGACCUUCGCCAGUGUCCCCCACCCCACCCCCACCCGGGCGCUGGGUGUGGAUUGGGCGGAGGGAGGCUAUAUGGGAGCUUAAAGCAUGAGGUCAUGAGCGGAGGAGACUGCUGCCAAAAGCACCCGAGGUUUUUGUGUUUUUUGAGGGGUAACGGUUCUCCAUCUUCAGCAGUGGAAAGUCCUCCCGCCUACCCUACCAAUUCUGGGGCACGUGGACCACAGAGUCCCUGAAAAGAGGAGGGGACCCGGGCUAUUUCGCUUAAUGAGCGUUUGGCGCGUGCCCAGCCCUUUAUGGAGCCCUUCCACAUAAGCAAAGAAAGCCGAGGGACAGCGCACAGUGUUGCGGCGACUGGGAAAGGCUUCAGAUGCUCGAUGUCCCCCGCCCUCUUUCCUCAGUCCUCGGUCAUCUUCCAAGUGGGCUGCUUUCUGCGAUAGCUUCCUGUCCCCCUCCGACCCAUUCCUCCCAAGCGACUAAAACUCCUAAUGACAUUAUUUUAAAGCCUUCAAAACCCUCUUCCAUUGCCCUUAGAAUAAAGCCAAGUUGUGAUUUCGCCUCUACAGACCUCUCUACCCGCCCAGCUCUUCCUCGGAUAUUGUAAGCCCCGUCAAGCUUUCUUUGUUCAAGGGGUGGAGGAGGGGGCGCCUAACCUUUCCCCUUCCACCUCUUCUUACUAACUCCUGCUGGACCUUCAAGAUUUGACUCAACUGUCAGUAACUUCAAGAUGCCUUCCUGAGGGUACACCCAGGUCUCUACCUCAGGGGAAAAGACCUACCCUAGGUCUCCUGGCAGCAGCGCUGUGGCCGGAGUUGGCCCCAGUGGCGGCCUUUUUCCAAGCGGAGGAGGAACAGCCAAGCUAAGCUUGACCACCGUCACCGCCCAGGGACCUGAGCGGGAGCUGGCUAGGACAAAACCUCAAAACGGGACUUGGGAAAACCGCACCACCCAGAAAACUCAGCCCCUCCACCUCCCUCCCAGCACACACACACACCCUCUUAAUCUAAAACUCCUCCCCGGGGCAGAUAAGGAACCUAUUCGGAGAGUUAAGUUAAUUGCCCCAGGUCAAUGUGGAAAUUCACAGCCUGUCUUUCCAGCUCCUAAACCAGAAGCUGCAGAGAAGGAAGGAUUUGGGAUUUGCGGCUACACAGCCAAGGACGCUUUUGUCAUCUUCAAAGGACCCCCUACACCCUACACGCUUGGCCCGCUCUGUUCAUUGCCAACAGAGUGAUGGUAAUGCCAGAUGGUUAGCUCUGCAGGCUCUGACCUUAGGCAAAUUACUUAACCGCUUGGUUCAGUUUCUUUGCCUGUAAAAUGGGAAUGAUAGUAUUCAUAUCAUAGUGUUAUUGUGAGGUUUAAAUGAGUUAUUUUAUGUAAGGCCUUAGAGUUUAAAGCAAGUUACUAAUAUUUGUGAAUAGGGUUGUGUAUCCUCCCCCGCCCCGCCCCCCCCCCACCUUCCAAAGGACUCUAGAAAAUCAGAUCCUCAGAGUCUUAGCUGAUUGAAGCAUCAGAAAAAUAUCUAUGGGGCCAGGCGGGGUGGCUCACACCUGUCAUCCCAGCGCUUUGGGCGGAUGAGGUAGGCGGAUCGCUUGAGCUGAGGAGUUUGAGACCAGCCUGGACAAUGUAGAGAGACCCUCUCCACGUUUAUUAUUAAAAAAUAAAAAAUUAGCCAGGCAUAGUGGUGCAUGCCUGUAGUCCCAGCUACUGAGGAGGCUAAGGCAGGAGGAUGGCUUGAGCCCACGGGGUUGAGGCUGCAGUGAGCAGAUUGCCCCACUGCACUCCAGCCUGGGUGACAGCGCAAGACUCUGUCUCAAAAAAUAAAAUUAUAUAUAUAGAGAGAGGGAGAGAGAGAGAGAGAAAGAGAGCACCAAAAGGACUGGGAAACACCGGCAGAUGCACAGACAAUGCAUCCCUGAUUUUACCAAUAGACUUGACUCCCAACAAUGCAUACUCUUGAAGGCAAUCCACAGGUUGAAUAAACCAAGUCCAUGAGCGCUGGGUCUGGAAUCUUUCUACAAUCAGGGUCAGAAGGAGGGUGACUGAAAUUAAAAUAUUAGCUUGGAUCUUUGAAAUCAGAGUCAGGCUGAAAAAGUCCCAAUCUUAGUUCAAAACCUGUCCUGCAUGACUGAAGCCCUCCUAGGGCUGCACAAAGUAUAAUGGAAUUAUUAUUAUUAUUAUCAUUAGAUCCUAGUCUUACCAUUCUCAGCACUUAUCCCCAUAGCAAAAGACCAUUUUUUAAUGUAAUUUAUUCUUUUGGAAUAGGUUGAAUGCAUUCACAUGGUUCCAAAUUCAAAUAAACAGCAAGAAGUCUCCCUCCCACCCUGUCUGCCACCCACUUGGUUUUCCUUCUCUGGAGGCAACCUGGGUUAGUGGUCAGAAGAUGCAUUUAACUGUUUUCCAGCUGAGGCCUUGUGAGAACUCCUCGGACACCAAUUUAAAUCUUUAUGUCCAGAACUCCUUUCUCCAAUCCAGGUAGAGCCACUCCCCUAUCCUAUCCCCACUCCCACCCUUCCCCCCUUCAGCCUCAAUCCUAAGCAGGCUCUAUUAACAAUGAUGAGCCACCAUUUCCUCGAGCUACUAACAAAUGCAAAUGUUUAAAUACUUUGUGGUUCUUUUUCCUCUUCUACAUUAAUUGCUAACAUUUAUCGAGGGCUUUCCGUGUGCCACGCACUGUGCUAAAUACUAGGCAUGCAUAUUCUUAUUUAAUCUGCCCCAAAUCUUCAUCAUUAUCCUUAUUUACAGAUGCAGACAGAAAUGAAAGUUCAGAGAGAUUAUGUAAUUUGCACCAAUUUGCAUCCAGGCCAACCUGAAUCCAAACCCUAUCUCUUUUUACUUUUUCUUUCCUUUUUUUUUUUUUUUUUAAACAGGGUCUCACUCUUGUCAGCCCAGAUGGCAUGCAGUGGCACAGUCUAUGGAGGCAAUCAGGGUUAGCUGUCAGCUCACUGUGGCCUCAACCUCCCAGGCGCAAGUGAUCCUCCCACCUCAGCAUCCCCAGUAGCUGGGACUACAGGUGUACGCCACUACCCCCAGCUAAUUUUUGUAUUUUUUUGUAGAGAUGAGGUUCCACCAUUCUUGCCCAGACUGGUUUCGAACUCCUGGACUCAAGCGAUUUGCCUGCCUCGGCCUCAAAAAGUGCUGGGAUUACAUGCAUGAGCCACCACACCCGGACCCUCUCUCUUAAAUAGUGGCCCUUUUGCCUCUCUGCAACACAGGAAAAAUUCUGUUAGCCUGCAUCAGAAGGAGUGGCAUGGAGGCUUUGGAGUUAAGAAGAUUUAAUUCAAAUUAUGUGUCCGGUGCCUGCCAGCAAUGAGACCUUGGUAAGGUUUCUUAACCUCUCUGAGCUGGGACCAUACCUUCUGCGUUGGUUUAAUAUAAAGGUUAAAUGCAUGUAAAUAAAUGACUUCUAAAAUAAAUAACAUUCUAAAAUGUUAGUAACAACUAAAUACAAUAUUUAGAUCUUGUGAGGAUUUGAUUUGAAUAAAUAAGAUUUUUUUAAAAGACAUUUUUGAGACAAAAUGUAGACUAUCUGAUAUUAAGAAAUUAAUCACUUUUUCAGAUAUGAUAAUGGCAUUGCAGUUUUUUUUAAGUUCUUAUCUAUUACAGAUACAUAAUGAGGCAUUUUGAGUGAAAAUAUAUCUAGGAUUUGCUUUCCAAUACUCCAUCCCCUCCCCAUCAAAACACUAAAUAAAUGAAACAAGAUUAGUGAAAUACGGAAAAUUGUUGAAGUUAUUCAUUAUUCCAUUUCCCAUAUGGAACUUUCCAUACUAGUUUCCCUACUGCUGUUGAAUAUUUGACAUGUUUCAAAUACAUUUGAAAUAAAUUUAUUGUCUGAGAUGAUCAGGUUGAAAAAUAAUAAAAUGAAAUAAAUUUAAAAGUAAAAUAAACAUAAC